GAUCCUACGGGGCGCAGCAGUGGGGAAUAUUGCACAAUGGGGGAAACCCUGAUGCAGCGACGCCGCGUGAGUGAAGAAGUAUUGCGGUAUGUAAAGCUCUCUCAGCAGGGAAGAAAAAAGACGGUACCUGACUAAGAAGCCCCGGCUAACUACGUGCCAGCAGCCGCGGUAAUACGUAGGGGGCAAGCGUUAUCCGGAUUUACUGGGUGAAAAGGGAGCGUAGACGGCGCGGCAAGUCUGAAGUGAAAGGCAGGGGCUUAA
RNAcentral lists this ribosomal RNA (261 nucleotides) under uncultured bacterium. RNAcentral's name for it is "partial 16S ribosomal RNA". It matches the Rfam family "Bacterial small subunit ribosomal RNA", at positions 335 to 612 of the family's 1533-position model. The record is from RNAcentral.